Molecule: ribosomal RNA, 478 nt
Filed under: uncultured bacterium
Lineage: Bacteria
Description: partial 16S ribosomal RNA
Rfam family: Bacterial small subunit ribosomal RNA
Source: RNAcentral
GAUGAACGCUGACAGAAUGCUUAACACAUGCAAGUCUACUUGAUUCUACUUCGGUAGUUGAUGGUGGCGGACGGGUGAGUAACGCGUAAAGAAUCUGCCCUUUAGUUUGGGAUAACCUUUGGAAACGAAGGCUAAUACCGGAUAUUAUGGAGACGUCGCAUGACGACUCCAUGAAAGCUAUAUGCUCUAGAGGAGGACUUUGCGUCCCAUUAGUUAGUCGGUGAGGUAAUGGCUCACCAAGACCGCGAUUGGAAGCCGGCCUGAGAGGGUGAUCGGCCACAAGGGAACUGAGACACGGUCCUUACUCCUACGGGAGGCAGCAGUGGGGAAUAUUGGACAAUGGGCCACAAGCCUGAUCCAGCAAUUCUGUGUGCACGAUGAAGGUCUUCGGAUUGUAAAGUGCUUUCAGUAGGGAAGAAAAAAAUGACGGUACCUACAGAAGAAGCGACGGCUAAAUAUGUGCCAGCAGCCGCCGUAA